CACGUAGGGGGCAAGCGUUGUCCGGAUUUAUUGGGCGUAAAGAGCUCGUAGGUGGUUCGGUAAGUCGGGUGUUAAACCCCCAGGCUCAACCUGGGGACGCCACUCGAUACUGCUGUGACUAGAGUCCGGUAGGGGAGCGUGGAAUUCCUGGUGUAGCGGUGAAAUGCGCAGAUAUCAGGAGGAACACCAGCGGCGAAGGCGGCGCUCUGGGCCGGUACUGACACUGAGGAGCGAAAGCGUGGGGAGCAAACAGG
Molecule: ribosomal RNA, 254 nt
Filed under: uncultured bacterium
Lineage: Bacteria
Description: partial 16S ribosomal RNA
Rfam family: Bacterial small subunit ribosomal RNA
Source: RNAcentral